AUGUUUCCAAAUCAUCCAUGGCACGAGCAGAGUGGCGGAGGCGAGGCCUUUGUGCAUCGGCUUGGGCGUGUUCCGUUUAGCCAAGCGCCACCAGUCGUGAAGCGAGGCGUCGUUGUUGGGUGGCGGACAAGGGAGGCGCAGCCACGAGAGGAUCUCAUGCCACACCUGGCGAGCGAAGGGGCAUCCCAGGAGAAGGUGGUGCAGUGUCUCUGGGGCCUGAUCGCAGAGCGGACAGCAGGGUGGGCGAGGCAGGUUACGGCGCGGGAGGUGGUCGGCAGUCCAGCAGCGGUCGAGGUUCGCAAGCCAGUGGAAGAAGCGCACCCGUGGUGGUGCCCAACACUUCCAAGUAAGCCUCCAGGCCUGGCAGGUUACGAUGCUGCUCGUUUUAUAUCAUUAUCAGUUUCAGAUACCUAA
This 414-nucleotide ribosomal RNA is filed under the name Triticum aestivum (bread wheat). RNAcentral's name for it is "partial small subunit ribosomal RNA". Lineage: Eukaryota; Viridiplantae; Streptophyta; Magnoliopsida; Poales; Poaceae. The record is from RNAcentral.